UUACUGUGAUCUGGGAAGAACAGGGGAAGACAGAAAAGGCACGUCUGUGGGAUGGGAAGGGAUCUGCUUGCUUCUUCGGGAGUACUGCUCCAUUACAAUUGGAAAUAACCUAGCCCUACCUCUGCCUUAGUGGUGGUUUUUCUAGUUCUCUCUGGGCACGUGGAACCCUGGCACCUAGGUCUAGUCAAGGGACAGGAUUUUUCCUGCCUUCGGUGGUGACAAACCCUGAAAACGACUGCGAAAUGCUAUUGUAACAUGACUGCCCAGUCCCACAAAGGCUUGGCGUGUCCUUAGUCACCGCACUCACGGGCAGCCCGCAGUAAAUCUCAGCAUUGACUUUCUGUGGCCAAUGUGAGCAUCAGAUCAGAGGUGGCUGUGCCUUUCAAGCUUGUCUUCUCACCAUUAUCUCACGGAGCUUCUUUCAUAGCUGACUGGCAGAUCUUAUACCUACUAAGUACUUACAGAGCUGCCUUGUCACAUGGAGUGGGGGCCACACUUUGUCCCUGUAGACUUGAAGGGUUAGACUGCUUAUCCCUUAAGACCCAAGUAUUUUGAAAUUUGGGACUUUUGAAUUUGUCUUCUGUAGUAGAUUGAAUAUGGCUUAAUUGUGAGUCCCAACAUCUGAUGGCAGGCAUUGUAAUCUUUUCUCUCCCAAAGAACUGUAAAGCCCCAGCCAGCUCUGGUACCAGUGAAAAAGUCUUGUAUAUGAGACUUGACUUUCCUUCCCUGGAAGAUGCUGUUAGGAGAGCCAAGGGCCGAGUCCCUUCCUGCUUCUUCUCAUUAGGUCCAGGCAAGGGAGGGCCCAGAAGUGCUAAUUCUCUGUCUGUUCUGCACCUAGACCAGUGUGGUUAAUUACAUUGACCAGAGGCCGGCCGCCGAGAAGAAUACUCAGUUAUUCUUUGUGGUCUUUGAAUGGAAAGAUCCCUUCAUCCAGAAGGUCCAGGAUAUCAUCACGGCCAAUCCCUGGAACACCAUUGCACUCCUCUGCGGGGCUUUCCUUGCCUUAUUUAAAGCAGCAGAGUUUGCCAAACUAAGUGUGAAGUGGAUGAUCAAAAUCAGGAAACGAUACCUAAAAAGAAGAGGCCAGGCAACAAACCACAUAAGCUGAAGCCGCCAUGUCCCGGCACUCCGAACCGACAGAAGCCUUAUUCUCCCAUGGACAAACCAAGCCACCAGCAAUCCUGUACUCACUUGAAGGGACCUUACAGGGAAGGACAGUCUUUCAAACUGGAUGGUCAAACCUGGCUCAGGAGGUUGUUCGAGCCCACAGGCAAACAUCCAAUGAAUAGCCUGAAACUUAUUUAAGUACUUAAAUUAUUAACAGACAUUUUACAGAGCUGUCUAGUGCCUUGGAGGGGGUUUGUGGAAGGCAGCUUUUUCUCAUUUGUUCAUUAAAUAGUUAAGCUCCCUCUUUACCUUAGAUUUUUUUAUUUAAAGUGGACAGAUAUGCCCUGUAUACAAAAUUCGUCAUGACUUUUACACCGUCUACUGUUGUUACUUAGCAACUUGUCAGAGUCUAGAUGACACUUUUUUUUUUUUUAAUGUAGCCCUGGUGGAACUCAUUGUUUAGACCAGGCCUGCCUCUGCCUUCCCAUUGCUGAGAACAAAAGCCAGUACCACAGUGCCUGGUCUUACAUGAGACUUUCAAGGCUACUAGAAACUAGUGAUGACAUUUGUGAUGGGCUGUGUUGACGGAGGUGUGAGCUCAGUGGUCGCUGCUGGAAGCACUUGCACAGAUGUGUAUAGUAGGUGCCUACUUAGUGUACCUUGAUUUCAUUAACAGGUAAAUAAAGUUGGGCUAAUACAAAAGGAGUGAGUGUGAAUACCCUAAACUGGACGUGUUCACACUGUGACCACCCACCCAAACGGCACCACGGUGGCUCUGACCCGAGGUCUGUCACCACUGCUUCCAGAGAAGGUAAGCUGGACGUACCACACUAUGAAUAAGCUGCUUAGGAGGUCACUGUGUCCUGAAGAAACACUCACCUAAAAUGGUGGCCUUUAAGGCUUUGACAAAUAGCACUUAUCUAAACCAAACCCUGUCUUUUCCAAAUUGUGUGUCCAGAGGGAAUAUGGUAACAUUCAAAGAAUGCACAAUUAGGCCUUGGGGAAUCUGAAGGGAACUGCUCACAUGGAUAAGUUAGGCAUUUUUGUCUCCAAAUUUAGCAGCAAGAAACUGUUUUGGCUGAAUCUCUCGAAAUAAACUUGUAUAAUGAAACA
This is a non-coding RNA of Peromyscus maniculatus bairdii (prairie deer mouse), 2220 nucleotides long. The record is from RefSeq and is a predicted model, not a curated record. Lineage: Eukaryota; Metazoa; Chordata; Mammalia; Rodentia; Cricetidae.